This 339-nucleotide ribosomal RNA is filed under the name uncultured bacterium. Its description in RNAcentral is "bacterial SSU rRNA". It matches the Rfam family "Bacterial small subunit ribosomal RNA", at positions 28 to 369 of the family's 1533-position model. The record is from RNAcentral.
GAUGAACGCUAACGGGAGGCCUAAUACAUGCAAGUCGAGCGGUAGAGUGACUUCGGUUGCUUGAGAGCGGCGAACGGGUGAGUAACGCGUACACAAUCUACCUUUAAGAGGGGAAUAGCCCUGGGAAACUGGGAUUAAUGCCCCAUGGCAUCACGAGACGGCAUCGUUUUGUGAUUAAAGCUGAGGUGCUUAGAGAUGAGUGUGCGUCUGAUUAGCUAGUUGGUGCGGUAACGGCGCACCAAGGCGACGAUCAGUAGGGGCGUGAGAGCGUGGACCCCACACGGGUACGUGAGACACGGACCCGACUCCUACGGGAGGCAGCAGUAAGGAAUAUUGGUC